RNAcentral lists this ribosomal RNA (468 nucleotides) under uncultured bacterium. RNAcentral describes it as "partial 16S ribosomal RNA". It matches the Rfam family "Bacterial small subunit ribosomal RNA", at positions 28 to 507 of the family's 1533-position model. The record is from RNAcentral.
GACGAACGCUGGCGGCGUGCUUAACACAUGCAAGUCGAACGGAAAGGCCCUGCUUUUGUGGGGUGCUCGAGUGGCGAACGGGUGAGUAACACGUGAGUAACCUGCCCUUGACUUUGGGAUAACUUCAGGAAACUGGGGCUAAUACCGGAUAGGAGCUCCUGCUGCAUGGUGGGGGUUGGAAAGUGUCGGCGGUUGGGGCUGGACUCGCGGGUUAUCAGCUUGUUGGUGGGGGAGUGGCUUACCAAGGCUUUGACGGGUCGGCGGCCUGAGAGGGUGAACGGCGUCAUUGGGCCUGAGAUACGGCCCAGACGCCUACGGGAGGCAGCAGGGGGGAACCUUGCGCAAUGGUGGGAAGCCUGAGGCAGCAACCCCGCGUGCGGAAUGACGGCCUUCGGGUUGUAAACCGCUUUCGCCUGUGACGAAGCGUGAGUGACGGUAAUGGGUAAAGAAGCACCGGCUAACUACGUG